GCCUCGCCCGCGGCCGCCGGGUUGCGUCCGCACUUCUGCGCGCUGGCCCCUCCCUUGCUCCUCUCCCUAGCAGUCUCCAGGGUUUUACCGGGAGGACCUAGGCAACGGCCUGAGACUCCGAGGACAUUUUUAAAGAUUGGAAUGAUCUCGUUCUUGAAACCUAGGUGGGAUACGAUCAUUUACCAGACUCUAUGUUGAAGAUGCCUGGACUAACCUACUGAAGAUACGUGGUUUUACCAACAGCCAGCACCAAUAGGAAGAUAUGAAUGAAGCCAUCUGAGACCAGCCAUCUGGCAGCCAAACUGCCAACUGACUGCAAAUGCAUGAAUGAUCCCACUGACACCACGUAGAGCACAAAUGAGUUGCCUCCACUGAGCCCAGCCCAAAUUGUUAUCCUAUAAAAUCAUAAAAACAUAAACAGUUGUUUUAAGUCACUAAGUUUUGGAUAGUUUGUUAUACAACAAAAGCUAGCUGAAACAAAUGUAUUAGCUAGAGCAGCUGUGAAUGGCACUAUUUGCUUAGUUGAUUGGCUGAAAUUUGGACUCACUGGUAGGUUACAUUUAAUGGUGUUGAGUUGCCAGAAUUUCUCUGGAAUAAUGUAUAGGAAGGAUUCUAAUGGCCUAAGCCAUUAGAAUCUCUAAGGAGAUAGAAAUAAAGGAGUGAUUUAUUAUAUGUAA
This 677-nucleotide long non-coding RNA is filed under the name Homo sapiens (human). RNAcentral describes it as "HSALNT0351020". The record is from RNAcentral. Lineage: Eukaryota; Metazoa; Chordata; Mammalia; Primates; Hominidae.